AGGCUGCUUUUCAGAAAAGUCUGUGUGUUACGUGUUUACGGCUCGUGUUUUCUCACUUUGGGGCAGUAGGAAUAAAUAGGUCAGCGUUCCUAUUGGUUUUUGAAGGUUAGCUGGCCCCCCCUUUUCAAAGUUUUACCGUCUACUUGGUUUGCAGCCUUGUAGGAAAGCAUUACUGAAUUUUUCCUGGGAAUACUGUUACUCAUUUUAAUUUCGUGGCCCAUCCUUUUUCCUGUUCAAUUAUCUAGAAGGAGCUGCUUCAGAAACACUGUCCUGUUUACUGGACGCUCUCUAGCACUAUCCAGCAGGAGGCGCUACAACAAGUUAAAGGGACUCUUAAUUUUGAGGGUCUUUCUACCUAUUGAAGCUCUCUAGCUCAGCCAAGGAACAGGAGUAAAGUUCCGGGAAGACUUUGAGGGAUUAGAGAGUUGAAGGAGAGCCAGUUCCCCCAAAAUUGGUAAGUACUUUUACUAAGCAAGCACACUGAUUUUAUUUUAGCUGGACUUAUUCAAAUAUUGGUUUUUUUUGUAGAUGAUUUUUUCCCCCUCCAAAAAAGUGUCCUCCUCCAAACAAGGCUUUGCUGUUUGCACUGAAAGUGAAUUUUUAGCUUCACAUAGCUGUAUCUGAAAUGCAUUUGUAUUUCUGACAACUCUGCUAAACUUGCAUGCUCCUGAAUUUGAACUCAUUAAAACUUGAAGGCCCUGUUGCCAAAAUGCCCUUGAUAUAGUAG
Molecule: long non-coding RNA, 727 nt
Filed under: Meriones unguiculatus (Mongolian gerbil)
Lineage: Eukaryota; Metazoa; Chordata; Mammalia; Rodentia; Muridae
Description: lncRNA (ENSMUGG00000000543.1)
Source: RNAcentral